RNAcentral lists this unclassified non-coding RNA (306 nucleotides) under plant metagenome. Its description in RNAcentral is "partial contains 5.8S ribosomal RNA, internal transcribed spacer 2, and large subunit ribosomal RNA". The stretch from base 1 to 106 matches the Rfam family "5.8S ribosomal RNA", at positions 50 to 154 of the family's 154-position model. The record is from RNAcentral.
GAAAUGCGAUAAGUAAUGUGAAUUGCAGAAUUCCGUGAAUCAUCGAAUCUUUGAACGCACAUUGUGCCCUCUGGUAUUCCGGGGGGGCAUGCCUGUUCGAGCGUCAUUUCAACCAUCAAGCCCCCGGCUUGUGUUGGGGACCUGCGGCUGCCCGCAGGCCCUGAAAAACAGUGGCGGGUUCGCUGUCACACCGAGCGUAGUAGCAUACAUUCUCGCUCAGGGCGUGCUGCGGGUUCCGGCCGUUAAACGACCUUCAUAACCCAAGGUUGACCUCGGAUCAGGUAGGAAGACCCGCUGAACUUAAGC